GUAGGUGGCAAGCGUUGUCCGGAAUUAUUGGGCGUAAAGCGCGCGCAGGUGGUUCUUUAAGUCUGAUGUGAAAGCCCCCGGGCUCAACCGGGGAGGGUCAUUGGAAACUGGGGAACUUGAGUGCAGGAGAGGAAAGUGGAAUUCCACGUGUAGCGGUGAAAUGCGUAGAUAUGUGGAGGAACACCAGUGGCGAAGGCGACUUUCUGGCCUGUAACUGACACUGAGGCGCGAAAGCGUGGGGAGCAAACGGGAUUAGAUACCCUGGUAGUCCACGCCGUAAACGAUGAGUGCUAAGUGUUGUGGGGUUUCCGCCCCUCAGUGCUGCAGCUAACGCAUUAAGCACUCCGCCUGGGGAGUACGGUCGCAAAGACUG
This 373-nucleotide ribosomal RNA is filed under the name uncultured organism. RNAcentral describes it as "partial 16S ribosomal RNA". It matches the Rfam family "Bacterial small subunit ribosomal RNA", at positions 527 to 896 of the family's 1533-position model. The record is from RNAcentral.